GGGGGAGUGCCGGAACUGGCAGACGGGCAAGACUUAGGAUCUUGUGCCGCAAGGCGUGAGGGUUCAAGUCCCUCCUUCCCCACCA
RNAcentral lists this transfer RNA (85 nucleotides) under Dehalococcoidales bacterium. Its description in RNAcentral is "tRNA-Leu". It matches the Rfam family "tRNA". Rfam says of the family: Transfer RNA (tRNA) molecules are approximately 80 nucleotides in length. Their secondary structure includes four short double-helical elements and three loops (D, anti-codon, and T loops). The record is from RNAcentral. Lineage: Bacteria; Bacillati; Chloroflexota; Dehalococcoidia; Dehalococcoidales.